Molecule: ribosomal RNA, 306 nt
Filed under: uncultured bacterium
Lineage: Bacteria
Description: partial 16S ribosomal RNA
Rfam family: Bacterial small subunit ribosomal RNA
Source: RNAcentral
GACAGCAGUCGCCGCGGUAAUACAGAGGGUGCGAGCGUUAAUCGGAUUUACUGGGCGUAAAGCGUGCGUAGGCGGCUUUUUAAGUCGGAUGUGAAAUCCCUGAGCUUAACUUAGGAAUUGCAUUCGAUACUGGGAAGCUAGAGUAUGGGAGAGGAUGGUAGAAUUCCAGGUGUAGCGGUGAAAUGCGUAGAGAUCUGGAGGAAUACCGAUGGCGAAGGCAGCCAUCUGGCCUAAUACUGACGCUGAGGUACGAAAGCAUGGGGAGCAAACAGGAUUAGAUACCCCUGUAGUCCCUGUCUCUUAUAA